Molecule: ribosomal RNA, 492 nt
Filed under: uncultured bacterium
Lineage: Bacteria
Description: partial 16S ribosomal RNA
Rfam family: Bacterial small subunit ribosomal RNA
Source: RNAcentral
AUUGAACGCUGGCGGCAUGCUUUACACAUGCAAGUCGAACGGUAACAGGCCUUCGGGUGCUGACGAGUGGCGAACGGGUGAGUAAUGCAUCGGAACGUGCCCAGAGGUGGGGGAUAACGCAGCGAAAGCUGUGCUAAUACCGCAUGUGAUCUGAGGAUGAAAGCGGGGGACCAGGCAGCAAUGUUUGGCCUCGCGCCUUUGGAGCGGCCGAUGUCAGAUUAGGUAGUUGGUGGGGUAAAGGCCUACCAAGCCGACGAUCUGUAACUGGUCUGAGAGGACGACCAGCCACACUGGGACUGAGACACGGCCCAGACUCCUACGGGAGGCAGCAGUGGGGAAUUUUGGACAAUGGGCGCAAGCCUGAUCCAGCAAUGCCGCGUGCGGGAAGAAGGCCUUCGGGUUGUAAACCGCUUUUGUACGGAACGAAAAGGCUCUGGCUAAUACCUGGGGCUGAUGACGGUACCGUAAGAAUAAGCACCGGCUAACUACGUG